UACGUAGGCAGCAAGCGUUGUUCGGAGUUACUGGGCGUAAAGGGUGUGUAGGCGGUUGUUUAAGUUUGGUGUGAAAUCUCCCGGCUCAACCGGGAGGGUGCGCCGAAAACUGAAUGACUCGAGUGCGGGAGAGGAGAGUGGAAUUCCUGGUGUAGCGGUGGAAUGCGCAGAUAUCAGGAGGAACACCAAUAGCGAAGGCAGCUCGCUGGGACGGUACUGACGCUAAGGCGCGAAAGCGUGGGGAGCGAACAGG
Molecule: ribosomal RNA, 253 nt
Filed under: uncultured bacterium
Lineage: Bacteria
Description: partial 16S ribosomal RNA
Rfam family: Bacterial small subunit ribosomal RNA
Source: RNAcentral